AUGGCUGUUACAGCCAAUAAAGUUGUAACACCCUGCUACUUUAAUCAUGGAUAUAAUGAUCAUUUUGUUGAACCAUUAUUACUGUCUUCUAUAUGUAAAUUCAUAUAUGUGUUGCAACUUUUGCCUUUGGAUCUGCUCUUGCUUUGGCAUGCUAAUGAAUGUCUAAAUUCCAAUUUAAGAAUAUGGCCUCGAAGCUUCUGUUUAUCUCCAGUCAACAAUGAAAUGAUCACGUGUAGAGUAUUUCUUUUGGAAUUAGAUAAUGUCGCCCAGGAUGUAAAUCUUUCGAAGGUUGAACUGGAUUUAUAUAAUUUCUUUUAG
This 318-nucleotide ribosomal RNA is filed under the name Triticum aestivum (bread wheat). Its description in RNAcentral is "partial small subunit ribosomal RNA". The record is from RNAcentral. Lineage: Eukaryota; Viridiplantae; Streptophyta; Magnoliopsida; Poales; Poaceae.